UGUUAGGGUAUAUACUAUUAAUCAUGUGUUUAGACAUAGUAUUCUAACAAUUUUCAAGAUUAAAUAUCUAAGUGGGAGAUUGUUAGGGUAUAUACUAUUAACCAUGCAUUUAGAUAUAGUACAUUAUAACAAUUGUGAUGGUUAAAAGUCUAAGUGGGAGAUUGUUGGGAUAUAUACUAUUAACCAUGUGUUAAGAAAUAAUAUUUAUUAUAGAAUAAAUAUUUGCUCAAUUUUAAUAGAUCAUAAAUUCGUUUAUGGUGUCUAUUUACUUAUAUAGUAG
Molecule: long non-coding RNA, 280 nt
Filed under: Solanum tuberosum (potato)
Lineage: Eukaryota; Viridiplantae; Streptophyta; Magnoliopsida; Solanales; Solanaceae
Description: long non-coding RNA (STUB_LNC007047)
Source: RNAcentral